This 754-nucleotide long non-coding RNA is filed under the name Homo sapiens (human). RNAcentral's name for it is "HSALNT0293494". Lineage: Eukaryota; Metazoa; Chordata; Mammalia; Primates; Hominidae. The record is from RNAcentral.
AACAAGACUAACAUUGGAUUUCCACAGCUCUUUCGGCAGUGGGCUGGAAAGUGCUAUUAAAACAUGGCUGUUUCAUAAUUUCCCUAUUGGAAAUGCGGUCUCACUACGUUGCCCAGGCUGGUCUUGAAUUCCUGGUCUCAAGCAGUCCUCCCACCUAAGCCUCCCAAAGUGCUGGGAUUACAGAAAAUGGUAAACAAGGGAAAGAAAGAGGAGUUCCAGACCCUGCAUACCAAAAUAUUACAGACACACAGGAAAUGACUCUUCAAAUCCAGGCUGUAAACCUGUCAUUUCGUGGGCUUGUCUGUGGGCCUAGAAAAGCGAGACAAAGAUCACACCGAAGACAUUACUGUUUGGGGCUGGCUGUACUGGAGGACCUCUGGAGGCCUUUCCAUGCCAGGUGCUAUGAUUCUAAACUCAAGUCAUAAAAUGAAAUGUUAGAGGAAAGCCAAUGAAAUUUGAGGCAGAACUUGUGGCUUAAAGCUCAUUUUGCUUUAAAAAAUGUAGACUUUGAAAAACUGUUCUUUACAAGCAACAAAAAUUUUUUAAAGAAACUGAAAAGCUAAAAAAUAUUUUUUGGGGGGAGGGAGUAAUAUUCUCAGCCCUAUUACUAUCUUUUAAGGCUUUCGAUUACAGAUACUCCAAACAUGUAAUAAGUUACUAAGUCCUUAAAAUAUGUAUUAAUCUUCCUAAAAGAUUUGCAUAUUGACUUUAAUCCACGUAAAAGAUGUUUCUGGUGUAUUUAACCAAUGCUGCU